Molecule: ribosomal RNA, 390 nt
Filed under: uncultured bacterium
Lineage: Bacteria
Description: bacterial SSU rRNA
Rfam family: Bacterial small subunit ribosomal RNA
Source: RNAcentral
UGAGUGAUGAAGGCCUUAGGGUUGUAAAGCUCUCUCGCACGCGACGAUGAUGACGGUAGCGUGAGAAGAAGCCCCGGCUAACUUCGUGCCAGCAGCCGCGGUAAUACGAAGGGGGCUAGCGUUGUUCGGAAUUACUGGGCGUAAAGGGCGCGUAGGCGGCCUGUUUAGUCAGAAGUGAAAGCCCCGGGCUCAACCUGGGAAUAGCUUUUGAUACUGGCAGGCUUGAGUUCCGGAGAGGAUGGUGGAAUUCCCAGUGUAGAGGUGAAAUUCGUAGAUAUUGGGAAGAACACCGGUGGCGAAGGCGGCCAUCUGGACGGACACUGACGCUGAGGCGCGAAAGCGUGGGGAGCAAACAGGAUUAGAUACCCUGGUAGUCCACGCCGUAAACGA